CGGACGGGUGAGUAACGCGUGGAAAACCUGCCGUAUACUGGGGGAUAACACUUAGAAAUAGGUGCUAAUACCGCAUAAGCGCACAGCUUCGCAUGAAGUGGUGUGAAAAACUCUGGUGGUAUACGAUGGUUCCGCGUCUGAUUAGCUUGUUGGCGGGGUAAUGGCUCACCAAGGCAACGAUCAGUAGCCGGCCUGAGAGGGUGAACGGCCACAUUGGGACUGAGACACGGCCCAAACUCCUACGGGAGGCAGCAG
RNAcentral lists this ribosomal RNA (255 nucleotides) under uncultured bacterium. RNAcentral describes it as "partial 16S ribosomal RNA". It matches the Rfam family "Bacterial small subunit ribosomal RNA", at positions 99 to 354 of the family's 1533-position model. The record is from RNAcentral.